GCCUGCAGCGAUCCGCCCAGCCCCCGACCCGGAAGUUCCGCCUCGUUAUCCGCGCGUGCGCAGUUUCCUGCGGAAGCGGAAAGCGGACAGAGAAGGUCGCCGCACGGCCUUUGCUUGUUUUUUUUCCUAGAGUAACCCUAAGCGCCUGCCUUCGCCACGCCCAUCUUCAGGGUCCGGCUGGUUCUGCGGCAGUAAUAUCCCAAUACCCCGAACUCCGCCCUAAAUAAACCCAGAGGCCGCCGUUUAGGUCAAGUAUUCGAAAUCGCUGUGAGGCUUGUCCUUGCCGUUUGGUUUUCGCCUUUGGCCCCGGAGACGCCGCCUUCCGGGAUAUUUUCAUGCUUAAAACUUAACCGUUAGUACCUGCGCCUGUGCCUUGUCAAGUCCCCGGGCGCGAGGGGGAUUCGGGCACGCCCACCUCCACCGCCUCACCCUGUCGACCCCUGGAGGUCGCGUCGACAGUUCCACUCCCGGAGAAGCCGAUUCCUCUCCCCGGUCCUGGGAUUCCGGAGAGCCCGCCCGACCCCUGAGACCCCCUCGCUUCCAGCCUCUCUGCCCUCGCGUCUCCUCAGGCCGAUCGUUCUGCCCCGCAGGCCUCCCUUCCUGAUCAACUUCUAAAAACUUACAUUGUCUGAGGAAGAAGCUGGAAAGAGGAAGAAAGGAAAGGCAACAGGAAUGCCUCUUUCUCAGACUGCUGCUGCUGCUGCUGCUGCUAAGUCGCUUCAGUCGUGUCGGACUCUGUGCGACCCCAUAGACGGCAGCCCAUCAGGCUCCCCCGUCCCUGGGAUUCUCCAGGCAAGAACACUGGAGUGGGUUGCCAUUUCCUUCUCCAAUGCAUGAAAGUGAAAAGUGAAAGUGAAGUCACUCAGUCGUGUCUGACUCUUCGAGACCCCAUGGACUGCAGCCCACCAGGCUAUGCCGUCCAUGGGAUUUUCCAGGCAAGAGUACUAGAGUGGGGUGCCAUCACCUUCUCCGAACAGACUGCUAGUGGGUAUAUAACAUCCACCUGAAGACUAGCAGGGGGGUACUCUUUCUGUCCCCUUCUGAUGCCUAUGUCAGAGGCUUUCUCUAUCUCCUUUAUACUUUAAUAAAACCUUAUUACACAAAUCUCUGAGCGAUCAAGCCUCGUGUCUGGCCCCAGAUUGAAUUCUUCUCCUCCGGAGGCCAAGAAUCCUGGCGUUUUUUCAGUCAGCAACAACCUUUCAAAUCCCUAUGGGAGAGAAACCCUACAAAUGUAAUCAAUGUGGGAAGGACUUUACGGAAAAGGCAACCCUUGCAAAGCAUCAAUGAAUUCAUACUGGAGAGAAACCUUACAAAUGUAAGAAGUGUGGAAAAGCCUUUAGUCAAAAAGCACAUCUUCAGCUUCAUUGGAGAAUACAUACAGGAGAGGAACCUUACAAAUGUAAUGUGUGGCAUGUGUUUCAGUCGAAAAUCACACCUUACAAGUCAUCGGAGAGUACAUUUUGUAGAGAGAC
Long non-coding RNA from Bos taurus (domestic cattle), 1472 nucleotides. NCBI's taxonomy places the organism in Eukaryota, Metazoa, Chordata, Mammalia, Artiodactyla, Bovidae. The record is from Ensembl.